CGUUGCCAACCCGCGAGGGGGAGCUAAUCGGAAAAAACUCUGCUCAGUUCGGAUUGCAGUCUGCAACUCGACUGCAUGAAGCCGGAAUCGCUAGUAAUGGCGUAUCAGAUCGACGCCGUGAAUACGUUCCCGGGCCUUGUACACACCGCCCGUCACAUCACGAAAGUGAGUUGUACUAGAAGUCGCCGCGCGAACCGCAAGGACGCAAGCGCCCAAGGUAUGACUCAUGAUUGGGGUGAAGUCGUAACAAGGUAGCCGUAGGAGAACCUGCGGCUGGAUCACCUCCUUUCUAA
RNAcentral lists this ribosomal RNA (293 nucleotides) under Acidobacteriota bacterium. Its description in RNAcentral is "Acidobacteria bacterium partial 16S ribosomal RNA". It matches the Rfam family "Bacterial small subunit ribosomal RNA", at positions 1245 to 1533 of the family's 1533-position model. The record is from RNAcentral. Lineage: Bacteria; Pseudomonadati; Acidobacteriota.